This 254-nucleotide ribosomal RNA is filed under the name uncultured bacterium. RNAcentral's name for it is "partial 16S ribosomal RNA". It matches the Rfam family "Bacterial small subunit ribosomal RNA", at positions 524 to 776 of the family's 1533-position model. The record is from RNAcentral.
UACAGAGGGUGCGAGCGUUGUCCGGAAUCACUGGGCGUAAAGGGCGCGUAGGCGGUCCGUUAAGCGUGCGGUGAAAGCCCGGGGCUCAACCCCGGGUCGGCCGUGCGAACUGGGGGACUGGAGCGGAUCAGAGGCAGGCGGAAUUCCGGGUGUAGCGGUGGAAUGCGUAGAGAUCCGGAAGAACACCGGUGGCGAAGGCGGCCUGCUGGGAUCCUUGCUGACGCUGAGGCGCGACAGCGUGGGGAGCAAACAGG